AACAUCUUUUCAUGUGAUUGUGAUUGUUGGUAUUUCUAUUUCUAUUCCUGUGGAUUUGUAAUGUGAAUAUAUUUUUAAUUUGUAGCCCCAGUGAAUCCUCAGUGAGUGAGUGGAGCCUCAGUGAAUUUCUGCCAAGUUUUCUUAGUGGCUGCAAAGGAUUCUUAAAACAAAUGGCAUGCCCCAUUGCCACUGCUGACCAGUACUCCAGAAUCAGAACAACACAGCCUCGUUCAGAAAAAGUUAUCAGAUAGGAGAGCAGAGCGGGGGGAGAGAGAACAAGAACAAUAGAGAAAGCCUAGAGAGAGACAAGUGGUGAAGUUUGAAUUCCUGAGUGGUGUAAUUUUGAAUUUCAUACCUACUAAAAAGAGGUGCCCUGGUCCAUCAAUGAGAGAGAAUGUAGCAGUUCCAGGAUUUGCUGUGGUCCUCGUGAGCGCUCUCCACCCAGGCAGUGGCCGUGAAGAGUUAGAGUGGAGAAGCCGUGGUAGCAUCAUAGCUCUGCACUGGAUCGGCAACCAGGAUUACACAGCUGGCAGACGGACUCGGUCACCACACUCUCGCGCCUCGCCUGUACAAACUGUGAGUGAAACAUGACAGGAAGGACUGCAGAGUGCGAAAGUGGAGAAACCAGAUAGAGAAAUCCAGUCUCCGUACCUCAUCGCCAUCCUUCAGAGAGGGC
This 676-nucleotide long non-coding RNA is filed under the name Equus caballus (horse). RNAcentral's name for it is "lncRNA (ENSECAG00000032793.2)". The record is from RNAcentral. Lineage: Eukaryota; Metazoa; Chordata; Mammalia; Perissodactyla; Equidae.